CAGAAAAGCACACUCACAUGACUUGGUAAGAUAACAGCAUGUUCCUAAGGCCUUGGAUUAAGUUGUAUGGUCCACGAGAGCUAAACAGAGUAAAGAUAACUGGACAUGGGGAAACAUAACCCUCAACUGGCCAUGAAACAAAAAUCACAGGCACUUCGAAAAUGGCAAUGAACAAGAGAUAAAAGUCCCUCCAUCAUGAAGCUUAUGACAGUUUAUUGCCAUG
Long non-coding RNA from Balaenoptera musculus (blue whale), 223 nucleotides. RefSeq lists it as uncharacterized. The record is from RefSeq and is a predicted model, not a curated record. The transcript has 2 exons. NCBI's taxonomy places the organism in Eukaryota, Metazoa, Chordata, Mammalia, Artiodactyla, Balaenopteridae.